CUGGAACCCCGGGAUGCCCCCACCAGUACAAACCAGUACGGACCAGUUUGGGUCAGUUUGGACCAGUCUGAACCAUUUUGGGUCACUUUGGACCAGUUUGGACCAGUUUGGGCCACCUUGGACCACUUAGGAUCAGUUUGGCCCAGUUUGGCCCAGUACGGACCAGUUUGGCCCAGUUGGGAUCAGUUUGGACCAGUCUGAACCAUUUUGGUUCACUUUGGACCAGAACGGACCAGUUUGAACCAGUUUGGGCCACUUUGGCCCACUUUGGACCAGUUUGGACCAGUCUGAACCAUUUUGGGCCACUUUGGCCCAGUUUGGACCAGUCUGGACCACUUUGGGCCAGUUUGGGCCAGUAAUUCCCAGUUUCCCUGG
This 375-nucleotide long non-coding RNA is filed under the name Cyanistes caeruleus (blue tit). RNAcentral's name for it is "lncRNA (ENSCCEG00000003607.1)". Lineage: Eukaryota; Metazoa; Chordata; Aves; Passeriformes; Paridae. The record is from RNAcentral.